GAUCCUGGCUCAGGAUGAACGCUAGCUACAGGCUUAACACAUGCAAGUCGAGGGGCAGCAUGAACUUAGCUUGCUAAGUUUGAUGGCGACCGGCGCACGGGUGAGUAACACGUAUCCAACCUGCCGAUGACUCGGGGAUAGCCUUUCGAAAGAAAGAUUAAUACCCGAUGGCAUAGUUCUUCCGCAUGGUGGAACUAUUAAAGAAUUUCGGUCAUCGAUGGGGAUGCGUUCCAUUAGGUUGUUGGCGGGGUAACGGCCCACCAAGCCUUCGAUGGAUAGGGGUUCUGAGAGGAAGGUCCCCCACAUUGGAACUGAGACACGGUCCAAACUCCUACGGGAGGCAGCAGUGAGGAAUAUUGGUCAAUGGACGAGAGUCUGAACCAGCCAAGUAGCGUGCAGGAUGACGGCCCUAUGGGUUGUAAACUGCUUUUAUAAGGGAAUAAAGUGAGUCUCGUGAGACUUUUUGCAUGUACCUUAUGGAUAAGGACCGGCUAAUUCCGUG
RNAcentral lists this ribosomal RNA (502 nucleotides) under uncultured bacterium. RNAcentral describes it as "bacterial SSU rRNA". It matches the Rfam family "Bacterial small subunit ribosomal RNA", at positions 15 to 507 of the family's 1533-position model. The record is from RNAcentral.